This 980-nucleotide ribosomal RNA is filed under the name uncultured bacterium. Its description in RNAcentral is "bacterial SSU rRNA". It matches the Rfam family "Bacterial small subunit ribosomal RNA", at positions 47 to 1022 of the family's 1533-position model. The record is from RNAcentral.
CCUUACACAUGCAAGUCGAACGGCAGCACGGGUGCUUGCACCUGGUGGCGAGUGGCGAACGGGUGAGUAAUACAUCGGAACGUACCUUAUCGUGGGGGAUAACGCAGCGAAAGCUGUGCUAAUACCGCAUACGCCCUGAGGGGGAAAGCGGGGGAUCGCAAGACCUCGCGCGAUUAGAGCGGCCGAUGCCUGAUUAGCUUGUUGGUGGGGUAAAAGCCCACCAAGGCGACGAUCAGUAGCUGGUCUGAGAGGACGAUCAGCCACACUGGGACUGAGACACGGCCCAGACUCCUACGGGAGGCAGCAGUGGGGAAUUUUGGACAAUGGGGGCAACCCUGAUCCAGCAAUGCCGCGUGAGUGAAGAAGGCCUUCGGGUUGUAAAGCUCUUUUGUCAGGGAAGAAACACCGGCUCUAACACAGUCCGGGAAUGACGGUACCUGAAGAAUAAGCACCGGCUAACUACGUGCCAGCAGCCGCGGUAAUACGUAGGGUGCGAGCGUUAAUCGGAAUUACUGGGCGUAAAGCGUGCGCAGGCGGUUAUACAAGACAGGCGUGAAAUCCCCGGGCUUAACCUGGGAAUGGCGCCUGUGACUGUAUAGCUAGAGUGUGUCAGAGGGGGGUAGAAUUCCACGUGUAGCAGUGAAAUGCGUAGAUAUGUGGAGGAAUACCAAUGGCGAAGGCAGCCCCCUGGGAUAACACUGACGCUCAUGCACGAAAGCGUGGGGAGCAAACAGGAUUAGAUACCCUGGUAGUCCACGCCCUAAACGAUGCUGACUAGUUGUUCGGGAUUUACAUCCUGAGUAACGUAGCUAACGCGUGAAGUCAGCCGCCUGGGGAGUACGGUCGCAAGAUUAAAACUCAAAGGAAUUGACGGGGACCCGCACAAGCGGUGGAUGAUGUGGAUUAAUUCGAUGCAACGCGAAAAACCUUACCUACCCUUGACAUGUCACUAACGAAGUAGAGAUACAUUAGGUGCUCGU